UAUAGAAUAGUGGUGAAGAGCUCAGACUUUGGUGCCAUAUAACCGGGCUCUGCCACUUCCUGUGUGUCCUUAGACUCUCCGACGACUCCCAGUCCUCACUCCUCUCCAAGCCUGUCAGCAGCCUGUUUCAGAACUGGCCCAAACCACCUCUGCCGCCACUCCCCACCGGAACAGGGGUCUCCCCUACAGCCGCUGCGGCCCCAGGGGCCACCUCACCCUCAGCCUCCUCCUCCUCCACGUCCACCCGCCACCUCCAGGGCGUGGAGUUCGAGAUGCGGCCCCCUCUGCUCCGCCGGGCCCCCAGCCCCUCGCUGCUGCCCGCCUCGGAGCACAAGGUCAGCCCUGCGCCCAGGCCCUCGUCCCUGCCCAUCCUGCCUUCCGGACCCCUCUACCCAGGCCUCUUUGACAUCCGUGGCUCCCCA
Molecule: long non-coding RNA, 422 nt
Filed under: Homo sapiens (human)
Lineage: Eukaryota; Metazoa; Chordata; Mammalia; Primates; Hominidae
Description: non-protein coding lnc-SYT3-1:2
Source: RNAcentral